ACGGGUGAGUAAUGCCUGGGAAAUUGCCCUGAUGUGGGGGAUAACCAUUGGAAACGAUGGCUAAUACCGCAUAACGUCUACGGACCAAAGAGGGGGACCUUCGGGCCUCUCGCUUCAGGAUAUGCCCAGGUGGGAUUAGCUAGUUGGUGAGGUAAUGGCUCACCAAGGCGACGAUCCCUAGCUGGUCUGAGAGGAUGAUCAGCCACACUGGAACUGAGACACGGUCCAGACUCCUACGGGAGGCAGCAGUGGGGAAUAUUGCACAAUGGGCGCAAGCCUGAUGCAGCCAUGCCGCGUGUAUGAAGAAGGCCUUCGGGUUGUAAAGUACUUUCAGUCGUGAGGAAGGCGUUGAAGUUAAUAGNNNCNNCGUUUGACGUUAGCGACAGAAGAAGCACCGGCUAACUCCGUGCCAGCAGCCGCGGUAAUACGGAGGGUGCGAGCGUUAAUCGGAAUUACUGGGCGUAAAGCGCAUGCAGGUGGUUUGUUAAGUCAGAUGUGAAAGCCCGGGGCUCAACCUCGGAACCGCAUUUGAAACUGGCAGGCUAGAGUACUGUAGAGGGGGGUAGAAUUUCAGGUGUAGCGGUGAAAUGCGUAGAGAUCUGAAGGAAUACCAGUGNCGAAGGCGGCCCCCUGGACAGAUACUGACACUCAGAUGCGAAAGCGUGGGGGAGCAAACAGGAUUAGAUACCCUGNNAGUCCACGCCGUAAACGAUGUCUACUUGG
This 723-nucleotide ribosomal RNA is filed under the name Vibrio sp. HR05-44. Its description in RNAcentral is "bacterial SSU rRNA". It matches the Rfam family "Bacterial small subunit ribosomal RNA", at positions 102 to 820 of the family's 1533-position model. The record is from RNAcentral. Lineage: Bacteria; Pseudomonadati; Pseudomonadota; Gammaproteobacteria; Vibrionales; Vibrionaceae.